Molecule: ribosomal RNA, 1101 nt
Filed under: Rhytidhysteron sp. JCL-2023d
Lineage: Eukaryota; Fungi; Ascomycota; Dothideomycetes; Hysteriales; Hysteriaceae
Description: SSU rRNA
Rfam family: Eukaryotic small subunit ribosomal RNA
Source: RNAcentral
GUGUAAGUCAUAAUGCAUGUUUUCAAGGAUUCAGGCCAUGGAAGUCUUAGUAUUAAGGCAUUUAUCCGUGAACUGCGAAUGGCUCAUUAAUUCAGUUAUCGGUUAUUUGAUAGUACCUUACUACUUGGAUACCGUGGUAAUCUAGAGCUAAUACAUGCUAAAAACCCUGACUUCGGGAGGGGUUGUAUUUAUUAGAUAAAAAACCAAUGCCCUUCGGGGCUCCUUGGUGAAUCAUAAUAACUUAACGGAUCGCAUGGCCUUGCGCCGGCGACGGUUCAUUCAAAUUUCUGCCCUAUCAACUUUCGAUUGUAGGGUAUUGGCCUACAAUGGUAUCAACGGGUAACGGGGAAUUAGGGUUCGAUUCCGGAGAGGGAGCCUGAGAAACGGCUACCACAUCCAAGGAAGGCAGCAGGCGCGCAAAUUACCCAAUCCCGACACGGGGAGGUAGUGACAAUAAAUACUGAUACAGGGCUCUUUUGGGUCUUGUAAUUGGAAUGAGUACAAUUUAAAUCCCUUAACGAGGAACAAUUGGAGGGCAAGUCUGGUGCCAGCAGCCGCGGUAAUUCCAGCUCCAAUAGCGUAUAUUAAAGUUGUUGCAGUUAAAAAGCUCGUAGUUGAACCUUGGGCCUGGCUGGCCGGUCCGCCUCACCGCGUGCACUGGUCCGGCCGGGCCUUUCCUUCUGGAGAGCCGCAUGCCCUUCACUGGGUGUGUCGGGGAACCAGGACUUUUACUUUGAAAAAAUUAGAGUGUUCAAAGCAGGCCUUUGCUCGAAUACAUUAGCAUGGAAUAAUAGAAUAGGACGUGCGGUUCUAUUUUGUUGGUUUCUAGGACCGCCGUAAUGAUUAAUAGGGAUAGUCGGGGGCAUCAGUAUUCAAUUGUCAGAGGUGAAAUUCUUGGAUUUAUUGAAGACUAACUACUGCGAAAGCAUUUGCCAAGGAUGUUUUCAUUAAUCAGUGAACGAAAGUUAGGGGAUCGAAGACGAUCAGAUACCGUCGUAGUCUUAACCGUAAACUAUGCCGACUAGGGAUCGGGCGAUGUUAUUAUUUUGACUCGCUCGGCACCUUACGAGAAAUCAAAGUUUUUGGUUCUGGGGGGAGUCU